AGACCGUGAUGCGGGCACUUCCUUAAUAGCUCCUUGAACCUUUCCCAUGUCUCGUAUAAGGAUUCCCCGUCUUCUUGAGAGUAGGUGUUGAUCUCGCUCAUGAGUUU
RNAcentral lists this small nucleolar RNA (107 nucleotides) under Helianthus annuus (common sunflower). Its description in RNAcentral is "sRNA HanXRQr2_Chr15g0683221". It matches the Rfam family "Plant small nucleolar RNA R71". From Rfam's summary of the family: R71 is a member of the C/D box family of snoRNAs containing the C (UGAUGA) and D (CUGA) box motifs. Multiple nearly identical copies of this snoRNA have been identified in Arabidopsis, and it is thought to function as a 2'-O-ribose methylation guide for 18S ribosomal RNA. The record is from Rfam by way of RNAcentral. Lineage: Eukaryota; Viridiplantae; Streptophyta; Magnoliopsida; Asterales; Asteraceae.